GUCACAACUUCGCUGGUUUGGCGUGCCAACUUAAAUUCCCCGUAGACGGCCAUGCGAUGGUUGGCAAGUGGUCUUGCGUUGUGGGCUGCACAAACCACUCCCCGAAUACUCGGAGAGUCUGCUAUCACAGGUUUCAGAGUGACAGCGCUCUCCGCGCGAAGCGGAUCUUGUGUUCCCAUUACUGUGUUGACACUCGCCGCUACGCUUGAGGAGUGGGCUGGGCGCGGGCACGCGGGCAGACCGACAGACUGUGUUCGCCGAUGACCUUGAGCCACGAGUAGUUUUCACGGCGCGCGUUGAGAUGGCGCUACAGAAUGGGGUCUCAGGGGCUCGCGCGCAAAGAAAGAUCUUCCUGAAAACUUUGUGUGCAUGCGUUGCCCUAUUCCUGUGAGCCCUGUCAGCGUCAGUGCAUUUGUUUUGCUGAUUCGUGUAUUGCGAUUGAGUGCACGUAUACCUCGACGCUGUGUAUGAUGCCUUUAGCGGCCUUGUCACUGGCUGCGCCUCGAAAUGGGCAAAAAAUGUUUUGUCCCGAAUUGCAGGUCGGGGUAUAGGACUUGUACGGAGCGUGUGUCGCUUUUCAAGGCUCCACGUGAACCAGAGCGCUUAGAUAAGUGGCGACGGGCGAUUCCGAGAGCGGACAGAGUUUUGAAGCCUACUGACCACGUGUGCGCGAAACAUUUCCCGGAAGAAGCGAUCUCUGUGGCAUAUCACGCAGAGUACAAGGGAAACGUCCUGUUGCACGCCCGAAAGAAACCUACGCUCUCUUCGGAUGCUGUGCCUAGCAUUUUCCACGGCUGCCCAAACUACCUGACCGUGCAGCAAAGAACCGGGAAACCUUCGCGAAAACGGCAGGCUCUACUGCCGACUUCUCGGAAGCGACGGGGGCCAAAAGGUUCAACUGCUUCGGAAGUGCCUUACCCGACCGCUGAAUGUACGCCACAUUUAUUGCACGUAGAGACGACUCCACGGCAUGGCGAUGCUGAAUCAACGGGCACGCAAAGCAAGAGGCCGCGCUUCGACUUCUGCAGCGACGAGCCUACUCCACGUGAACAGGAGGCUUCGGAACACAACACUGAUUGUGUGAGUGGCCUAUGCGCCAGCGACUCACGUCGUCAUCAAGCGGGAAAGCAGCAUUCCCGUGAAGCUCUUGCCGCACCAGAGGCUGACCAUGCAGAGAGCAGCAAUCGGCGUGACUUGAGCUGCCAAGGGAACACCACCACCCAGUGCACUGAGGGAUCUCAGCCAUAUACGCGUGACGUCGAUGUUUAUGUGCAGACAACUGCUCGAGCACAGAGCACUAAGGCUGUACAGGCGUGCAUCAAGAAGCAAUCUAUUGGUGUCCAGACCAAGCCCGCUGCCUACUUAUGAUAGCUGCUACCAAACUGACGACUGGUAGCAGUACAGUGAUGAGGGGUCCAGGCCAGCCCGCUGCCUAUACUGAUGACAGCUGUGACCAAAGUGACUACGCGCUGCUGCACAAUGAUGAGGUACUACCAGAAUGGAGGCCUUUGUGCUCUACGUCAAGGCAUGAUGCAAAUGCCCCGAGUCUGAACCUGAGCAUGCGUGCAAAUUUGAUUGCAGUUAUGUAUUAGUUUUACGAGGCACUUCAGAGAACUACCAGCACUGUAUGCAAUUGUUAGGAAUAUUUCAGGACGGACUACCUCGGACAUGAUACAUUCAGCUGUGAGGACAAGGAACCAGACAUUCGGAUAUGUCAUCCGGCGCUCCGAACUGUGCCAUAACUUGUGGGUGGGUUGCCGCACCCCCUUCCACGUUUUCCUGAAGACGCUCACGUACAGAUGCUCCGGGCCCCGCCACGGUGGUCUAGUGGCUACGGCGCUCGACUGCUCACCCGAAGGUCGCGGGAUCGAAUCCCGGCCGCGGCGCGGCUGCAUUUUCGAUGGAGACGAAAAUAUUUGAGGCCCGUGUGCUUAGAUUAGGUGCACGUUAAAGAACCGCAGGCGGUCGAAAUUUCCGGAGCCGUCCACUACGGCGUCCCUCAUAGAUCGUGGUUUGCAGGUGUUCUGAGAAAAAGAAAGCCGCCGUCGUAUUACACAAGCUCAUAUGUUUCCGCGUUAGUCAGAUGUGGUGGUUCAACCCAUCGAGAGGAAGUUACUUUGCGGAGGCUUCGUGUCGGGGUUGCGCUUGUGACCACUCUCUAGGCGCAACAUUUCCGCGGCCCAAAUGGUGCAUCGUGCCCAUUCGCGACGCCCGAAUCCGCGACAUGACUGCGACGCACUUGCUGUGGACUUGUGCAGGCCUGCCAUUAAGCCGUCUUCGUCACCUCCAUGCAACAGCCUUCAGACCUGGCCGACCACCCGACCUCGAUCGCUGGAUUCACGGACCAUACCACCGUUCAUUGUUAGACUUUGUACAUACAGCGAAUUUGCGUGUGUAUUUUUGACACCAUAAAUUGCUAUGCCUAAGGGAAGGCUUUCGAAAUAAUAAAAAAAAAGAAAUUGUACCAUAACUACAAUUAUGUCGGCCUGUCUCUUGCAGUGCAAUAUUUAGCUCAACAUUUCUUGCACUGCAGUAUGUAUGAACGCUAUUCAAGAGGUGUUGUAAUUAAAGCACAUCUAUU
Molecule: long non-coding RNA, 2581 nt
Organism: Rhipicephalus sanguineus (brown dog tick)
Lineage: Eukaryota; Metazoa; Arthropoda; Arachnida; Ixodida; Ixodidae
Exons: 5
Source: RefSeq, a predicted model, not a curated record